Molecule: small RNA, 110 nt
Filed under: bovine gut metagenome
Description: Ribosomal protein L10 leader
Rfam family: Ribosomal protein L10 leader
About the family: This family is a putative r-protein leader autoregulatory structure found in B. subtilis and other low-GC Gram-positive bacteria.
Source: RNAcentral
AAAUUGAAAAAACAACCGUAGACAGCGGGUGUCGAAAGACUUAAUUUCCCGCCGAGGUACAAUACAUAGAUAUUGAACCCUGUCUGCGUAAUUGGACAGGGUUAUUUAUU